GGUUGGGGGCGUUGGGGAUGACCCCCCCCCCCCAAACCCUCACACUCCUUCCUAAAGGCGGCUAAUGUUUCUUUUGAAGAAAUAAUCCUGUUUGGCCAUCUAAUAGCACUCGGCAAUUAUGAGCCUUUGCAGGGCAUGUAUGGUAUUACAAGAGGUGGCUACCAGCAUGUGUAUGGAGGUGGAGUGAACUAGAUCAAAAGUCCUGAGCGGGUAAGAGAUGUUUUCAAACAUGUAACUAAAUAAAGCUAUAUGUUAAUUAAAUGAAAUUACUCACUUUUAAAAUCCCUCUUUCGGUGAUACGGAAAAUGCUUACAUUGCAAAAGGGUGGAAAUAGCUGGAAUCUUUUUGUUUCAUUGGUUUUUGAAACAAUAUUGUAUGUGAAAAAGUGUCAUUCAUAUCAUCAAACUUGAAGGGAACAAUUAAUCUUCUGCGCUAUAAAUGUAAUCAGUUAAUGUAUUGUUGGUGUACUCAAUAUUAAAAUGAAUAUUUUUGCAAUACCAUAUAUUGAGAAUUGCAUCAACAGUAACAUUUUGGGUGAAUAACCAUUGCAGAAACUUCAAACUAUCUCAUGUGCUGACUUUUUGUAGAUUGUGCCAGUGCAAUAUUUAUUUCAAUCGUUAGUAAAUCAUCCCCAGAAUACAAAAAAUUCAUGAAUUAAACUGUUCAAUUUAUUUUCAUUCAAAAUUCAACUAUCUGUAUCUCCUGAUUCCCUUAUAUUGUACAAAAAAAAUCAUAGGCUUUUGUGAUUCAUUUGAUUUAAUUUCCAAUUUCCUAUGUACAGUAUUUGUUAUUUCUUACAUAAUUUAGGUCACAAUAAUUGUAUGCGACAGGUUGGGGUUCAAAUGUUGCCCCCUUGUGGAUCACUUUAAAGCAUAAAAUGUGUUAUUUACCAACUGUGACUGUCCUUCACUAUUCCAUUUGAUCACAUAAUACAGUACAAUACAAUAAUAUCUGUGACGAUGAGCAGUUGUUCAUGCUAAAAGCUACAAUUAAUUGUUCUCACUCAGAAGAAAUAAUGUGUUCAUAAAAAAAAAUAAAACCUCUUCCUCUAUAAUUUCAGGUGAGCUUUAUAGAGAGGAAGAAUUGGCCUCUAUGCAGAACUGGAGGAAACGUGCUGAAUGUAUGAGAGGAACUGAGGGGUGAAAUAAAAGAAGGGAACUCAAGGACUUUGGCUCCUCACCGAGUGCUUAACAAUAUCUCCAUCAUCAUCAUGUCAUCACUCAAUUAAAAGACCAAAGGCCAUUCCAGGAAGAUCUUGUGGUCGUCCUUCUAACCUUCUGUCGUGUUCAUGCAUGUGUGUCUGUAUUCAAUGAACAAUAGGCACUCCUUCAAUUGUUUUGUUAUCAGUCCCCCCCCCCCCCCACACACACACAGACACACACACACUCACGGGAUCUAGUAAAAGUGCCUGUAUACUGAAAUACUGUCGCUUUAGUUAAAACUUAAUAUUAUGCAUUAAAUUCAAUAAAUGUCUGUAUUGUGCUAAGCAGGAAAUGGACCACUAUGCAGCAUGAUGUCUGCGAUAAUGACGCGUGUGCGAACUUGUGGCUUACUCUGCUGCCAGUGUGUGUGAGUGUCUGUAUAGUUUAGUCAUAUGGGGGGGUGGGACCGGGUUCAGUGGUAGGACAAUCUCAACC
Syngnathus typhle (broad-nosed pipefish) is the source of this 1637-nucleotide long non-coding RNA. RefSeq lists it as uncharacterized. The transcript is spliced from 3 exons. The record is from RefSeq and is a predicted model, not a curated record. Lineage: Eukaryota; Metazoa; Chordata; Actinopteri; Syngnathiformes; Syngnathidae.